Long non-coding RNA from Apis dorsata (giant honeybee), 125 nucleotides. RefSeq lists it as uncharacterized. The transcript has 2 exons. The record is from RefSeq and is a predicted model, not a curated record. Lineage: Eukaryota; Metazoa; Arthropoda; Insecta; Hymenoptera; Apidae.
UGAUGUUUAAUUUAAUUUAUUAUUAUUAUUAAUAUGCACGUGUUAUAAAUCGACGAUUCGUAUCGUUCAAUUGUUGUUGCUCGCGAGAAUUUCUCUAAUCAUUUUGUGGAUCUCAAUACGAUAAA